This 585-nucleotide ribosomal RNA is filed under the name uncultured bacterium. RNAcentral's name for it is "bacterial SSU rRNA". It matches the Rfam family "Bacterial small subunit ribosomal RNA", at positions 338 to 916 of the family's 1533-position model. The record is from RNAcentral.
CCUACGGGAGGCAGCAGUGGGGAAUUUUGGACAAUGGGCGAAAGCCUGAUCCAGCCAUGCCGCGUGCAGGAUGAAGGCCUUCGGGUUGUAAACUGCUUUUGUACGGAACGAAAAGGUCUUUUCUAAUAAAGAAGGCUCAUGACGGUACCGUAAGAAUAAGCACCGGCUAACUACGUGCCAGCAGCCGCGGUAAUACGUAGGGUGCGAGCGUUAAUCGGAAUUACUGGGCGUAAAGCGUGCGCAGGCGGUUAUAUAAGACAGUUGUGAAAUCCCCGGGCUCAACCUGGGAACUGCAUCUGUGACUGUAUAGCUAGAGUACGGUAGAGGGGGAUGGAAUUCCGCGUGUAGCAGUGAAAUGCGUAGAUAUGCGGAGGAACACCGAUGGCGAAGGCAAUCCCCUGGACCUGUACUGACGCUCAUGCACGAAAGCGUGGGGAGCAAACAGGAUUAGAUACCCUGGUAGUCCACGCCCUAAACGAUGUCAACUGGUUGUUGGGUCUUCACUGACUCAGUAACGAAGCUAACGCGUGAAGUUGACCGCCUGGGGAGUACGGCCGCAAGGUUGAAACGUCAAAGGAUUGACGG